GAUGAACGCUGGCUACAGGCUUAACACAUGCAAGUCGAGGGGAAACGACGGGGAAGCUUGCUUCCCCGGGCGUCGACCGGCGCACGGGUGAGUAACGCGUAUCCAACCUGCCUCUGACUGAGGGAUAGCCCGUCGAAAGUCGGCCUAAUACCUCAUGGCAUCGUCUGCGGGCAUCCAACGACGAUUAAAGAUUUCAUCGGUCAGGGAUGGGGAUGCGUCUGAUUAGCUUGUUGGCGGGGUAACGGCCCACCAAGGCUACGAUCAGUAGGGGUUCUGAGAGGAAGGUCCCCCACAUUGGAACUGAGACACGGUCCAAACUCCUACGGGAGGCAGCAGUGAGGAAUAUUGGUCAAUGGGCGGGAGCCUGAACCAGCCAAGUAGCGUGCAGGAUGACGGCCCUAUGGGUUGUAAACUGCUUUUAUGCGGGGAUAAAGUGAGGGACGUGUCCUUCAUUGCAGGUACCGCAUGAAUAAGGACCGGCUAAUUCCGUG
Molecule: ribosomal RNA, 491 nt
Filed under: uncultured bacterium
Lineage: Bacteria
Description: partial 16S ribosomal RNA
Rfam family: Bacterial small subunit ribosomal RNA
Source: RNAcentral